RNAcentral lists this ribosomal RNA (329 nucleotides) under uncultured eukaryote. RNAcentral's name for it is "partial 18S ribosomal RNA". It matches the Rfam family "Eukaryotic small subunit ribosomal RNA", at positions 1470 to 1796 of the family's 1831-position model. The record is from RNAcentral.
CCCUUAGAUGUCCUGGGCCGCACGCGCGCUACACUGAGUGUCUGAGAUACGAGUCUGCCUGGUCCGGCAAGGUCUAGGUAAUCGCUAAAAGACACAUCAUGCUUGGGGUAGAUUAUUGCAAAUAUUAAUCUUGAACGAGGAAUUCCUAGUAAGCGCAAGUCAACAGCUUGCGUUGAUUACGUCCCUGCCCUUUGUACACACCGCCCGUCGCUACUACUGAUUGGAUGUUUAAGCGAGAUUCUCGAACUGCUAGCGACUUAGCUUCGGUGAGGUCGCAGUGUGGGAAGUGAACCUAGCUUUGGUGUCUAGAGGAAGUAAAAGUCGUAACA